UGACCCUGGGCACAUUGGCCCUUACAAUUUAAUCUGAACAAUGGAACCAGAGACAUCAGCACUGUCCAGGCUCUCUGAUGAUCUUCAUCCUUCGCCAGCAGCAAUUCAUGAAAUAAAUACAGAGUUUUCUGAGGAAAGUACAAUAUACUCAGACCUCAAAGUUCAUUGUUCUUCAAAUAUCCAGAACGGAAAAAUAACUAAAACUUCGAAAACAAAAGUGUCUCCGUGGUGCAUUGCUGCUGUGAUAUUUGCCUUCCUUUAUAUAAUCACUCUGGUAAUAGUUGCAGCUAUGGUAGCUAAGAUUCAUUGUCUUGAGGAGAUCCUGCACGAGGCAGCCAUUGAGACUGCACAUUGCAAUAUAAUAUCACAAAACAAAGGUUGA
Cercocebus atys (sooty mangabey) is the source of this 382-nucleotide long non-coding RNA. NCBI's taxonomy places the organism in Eukaryota, Metazoa, Chordata, Mammalia, Primates, Cercopithecidae. The record is from Ensembl.